CUUACUGUCAAGCACAAGUAUGACAAAGCUUACGUGACUUCUAAUGUGGAUAUACUAGGUGCAUAUGUGGUCUGUCAAGCGAACAACUGGACAAGCAUGAAACCUGGACACAUCCUGACCGCUCUCCUGAUAUUCACAUGCAUUGCGCUGUCUUUGCAAUUCGGUGGCCACUCUCACGUCUGCGUCCCGGUCACAAACCACAACAGUGGCAAGAUAGGAGCGUGGUGCCGUGCCUCCUGCCACUGUCACAACUGCGAGUGUGGCUAUCCGAUAAGAUACAAAUGGUUCAAGUUUCUCUGCCUCAGUCCGACGCCUAUACAAAGCCAUACGCCGACACACAAAGACGCACCACUUGGCUCCUCGGUUGGAACGUUGUCCUAUGGCUAUUACUCCGGAGACAAGAUUGAUAAGUGCACGAAAAUAUGUGGUUGCGCGUACUGUGAUUGUCUGUAUACUGUGCCUACCAAGAACUAUGGGAAUACCCAUGACAAUGAGAAUGUUGAUCCCGUGAACAGGCUUUCCAGCAGUCCUCGACAAAAUUUUAGGGCUAAUUUUAGGGAGAAAUUAAGGUUUUUUUAGGGCUAUUU
This 587-nucleotide long non-coding RNA is filed under the name Priapulus caudatus. RNAcentral describes it as "uncharacterized LOC106806741, transcript variant X1". Lineage: Eukaryota; Metazoa; Priapulida; Priapulimorpha; Priapulimorphida; Priapulidae. The record is from RNAcentral.